This 269-nucleotide long non-coding RNA is filed under the name Capsella rubella. RNAcentral describes it as "long non-coding RNA (CRUB_LNC001313)". Lineage: Eukaryota; Viridiplantae; Streptophyta; Magnoliopsida; Brassicales; Brassicaceae. The record is from RNAcentral.
UCAACACUUAGUAUCCACCGUUGGAUCUAUCUUUAUAUAAAAUCUAAUGGAUCACAAUAAGUCAACACUUACCGAGGUGGUCAAAUAGCUCUCUAUCUCUCUCUUUGUUUAAAGAUAGAAAUGAAUAAUAUUUGUUUCCUUUUUUUUUUUUUUGAUACGGAGAGUACAACUUGGAGUAUAUUGUAAGAUAGUCAGCUUUUCCUCCUGCUUUGUCGUACUUAUUUAUUAAUCGCUGGUUCUAGUGGACUUUUAAAAUCUUUUGAGUCAAA